UACGGAGGAUCCGAGCGUUAUCCGGAUUUAUUGGGUUUAAAGGGUGCGCAGGCGGGAGAUUAAGUCGGCGGUGAAAUUUUGCAGCUCAACUGUAAAAGUGCCUUCGAAACUGGUUUCCUUGAGUGUAGAUGAAGUAGGCGGAAUUUGUGGUGUAGCGGUGAAAUGCAUAGAUAUCACGAGGAACUCCGAUUGCGAAGGCAGCUUACUAAACUACUACUGACGCUCAGGCACGAAGGCGUGGGGAUCAAACAGGAUUAGAUACCCGGGUAGUCCCUGA
This 277-nucleotide ribosomal RNA is filed under the name uncultured prokaryote. Its description in RNAcentral is "partial 16S ribosomal RNA". It matches the Rfam family "Bacterial small subunit ribosomal RNA", at positions 524 to 800 of the family's 1533-position model. The record is from RNAcentral.